AUGACGCCGCAUAGCCGGGAAGAUCUGCGGAGGUGGACACCCGACUCUGACCAGCGGAGAAAUGCCUGGGCUCUAACUGCGGCCAGGCUUUAGUGGGGCAGGAAAGAGAGGCAAAGAUACUCAACCAGCUUUAGCAUUUACUGUGGACAAACAAGAGAAGGUCCAAGAGGAUUUAGAUCCCCUUGCAGAGCCUCUUUGGGAAUGAAGAGUUAUGGCAGCAGAUUCCACAAGUCCCACAUCCUGCUUGUGACCAUGUGGAUGUAAAGGACCUUAUAAAGAUGAACAUUAAGGGAAUCCACAAGAUGAUCAGAUAAGGACCCAGACUAUUGGUGAUUCUAAACAAAGAUGAGUGGUAAUGACGACUGUAUUUCUCUGGACUUCCUGCUGGCCAAUAUAGGCAAUACAUGGG
This is a long non-coding RNA of Mustela erminea (ermine), 409 nucleotides long. RefSeq lists it as uncharacterized. The record is from RefSeq and is a predicted model, not a curated record. NCBI's taxonomy places the organism in Eukaryota, Metazoa, Chordata, Mammalia, Carnivora, Mustelidae. The transcript has 4 exons.